UACGUAGGGGGCUAGCGUUGUCCGGAAUCAUUGGGCGUAAAGAGCGUGUAGGCGGCUCGGUAAGUCCGCUGUGAAAGUCCAGGGCUCAACCCUGGAAUGCCAGUGGAAACUGUCGAGCUAGAGUCCGGAAGAGGCGAGUGGAAUUCCUGGUGUAGCGGUGAAAUGCGCAGAUAUCAGGAGGAACACCAAUGGCGAAGGCAGCUCGCUGGGACGUUACUGACACUGAGGCGCGAAAGCGUGGGGAGCGAACAGG
This 253-nucleotide ribosomal RNA is filed under the name uncultured bacterium. RNAcentral's name for it is "partial 16S ribosomal RNA". It matches the Rfam family "Bacterial small subunit ribosomal RNA", at positions 524 to 776 of the family's 1533-position model. The record is from RNAcentral.